RNAcentral lists this ribosomal RNA (498 nucleotides) under uncultured bacterium. RNAcentral describes it as "partial 16S ribosomal RNA". It matches the Rfam family "Bacterial small subunit ribosomal RNA", at positions 28 to 507 of the family's 1533-position model. The record is from RNAcentral.
GACGAACGCUGGCGGCGUGCCUAAUACAUGCAAGUCGAACGAGAGCGACCGGUGCUUGCACUGGUCAAUCUAGUGGCGAACGGGUGAGUAACACGUGGGUAACCUGCUCAUCAGAGGGGGAUAACAUCCGGAAACGGAUGCUAAAACCGCAUAGGUCUUCGAGCCGCAUGGCUUGAAGAGGAAAAGAGGCGCAAGCUUCUGCUGAUGGAUGGACCCGCGGUGCAUUAGCUAGUUGGUGAGGUAACGGCUCACCAAGACCGUGAUGCAUAGCCGACCUGAGAGGGUGAUCGGCCACAUUGGGACUGAGACACGGCCCAAACUCCUACGGGAGGCAGCAGUAGGGAAUCUUCCGCAAUGGACGCAAGUCUGACGGAGCAACGCCGCGUGAGUGAAGAAGGUUUUCGGAUCGUAAAACUCUGUUGUUAGAGAAGAACAAGUGCUAGAGUAACUGUUAGCGCCUUGACGGUAUCUAACCAGAAAGCCACGGCUAACUACGUG